RNAcentral lists this ribosomal RNA (1431 nucleotides) under uncultured prokaryote. RNAcentral's name for it is "partial 16S ribosomal RNA". It matches the Rfam family "Bacterial small subunit ribosomal RNA". The record is from RNAcentral.
AUUGAUCCUGGCUCAGAUUGAACGCUGGCGGCAUGGCUAAAGCAUGCAAGUCUGGGAGAACCUUCGGGGGACACCGGCGAAAGGGCGAGUAAUACGAUCGAACGUACCCCAAGGUGGAGGAUAGUGUCGGGAAAACGGCGGUAAUACUCCAUGUGCUCUUCGGAGGAAAGCUUUUGCGGCGAUCGUCCUAUCAGGUAGUCGGUGAGGUAAAGGCUCACCAAGCCGAAGACGGGUAGCGGGUGUGAGAGCAUGACCCGCCGCAUCGGGACUGAGACACUGCCCGGACUCCUACGGGAGGCUGCAGCGACGAAUCUUCCGCAAUGGGCGAAAGCCUGACGGAGCAAUGCCGCGUGUGGGAUGAAGCAUCUCGGUGGUGUAAACUACUGUCAGGGACUAGAACAAAUGAGCAGACCCAAAGGAAGGGCCGGCUAACUUCGUGCCAGCAGCCGCGGUAAUACGAAGGGCCCGAGCGCUGCGCGGAAUCACUGGGCUUAAAGCGUACGUAGGCGGACUUAUAGGCAUCUUGUGAAAUCCCACGGCUCAACCGUGGAACUGCUCGAUGAACCAUAAGUCUUGAGGCAGGUAGGGGCUGUCGGAACGAUAGGUGGAGUGGUGAAAUGCGUUGAUAUCUAUCGGAACACCGAAGGAGAAAUCAGACAGCUGGGCCUGACCUGACGCUGAUGUACGAAAGCGUGGGUAGCGAACGGGAUUAGAUACCCCGGUAGUCCACGCCGUAAACGAUGUGCACUAGAUCGAGGGGGUUUUGAGCCGCUCUCGGUCGAAGCGAAAGUGUUAAGUGCACCGCCUGGGGAGUACGGUCGCAAGGCUAAAACUCAAAGGAAUUGACGGGGGCUCACACAAGCGGUGGAGCAUGUUGCUUAAUUCGAGGCAACGCGAAGAACCUUACCUAGGCUUGACAUGUAUGGAUUAGCAUUAUGAAAGUUUUGUAACGCCCCCUUGGGUGGAACGUACACAGGUGCUGCAUGGCUGUCGUCAGCUCGUGCUGUGAAGUGUCGGGUUUAGUCCCUUAACGAGCGCAACCCCUAUCGUUAGUUACUAACGCGUCAUGGCGAGGACUCUAGCGAGACUGCCGGUGUCAAACCGGAGGAAGGUGGGGAUGACGUCAAGUCCUCAUGGCCCUUACGCCCAGGGAUGCAAACGUGCUACAAUGGUACGGACAGAGCGACGCGAGACCGUGAGGUGGAGCAAAUCGCAAAAACCGUGCCCCAGUUCGGAUUGCAGGCUGCAACUCGCCUGCAUGAAGCCGGAAUCGCUAGUAAUCGCGCAUCAGCUACGGCGCGGUGAAUACGUUCCUGAGCCUUGUACACACCGCCCGUCACGUCAUGGAAGCUGGCAGCGCCCGAAGUCACCUCAUUUCAGGGGUGCCUACGGCGAGGCUGGUAACUGGGACUAAGUCGUAACAAGGUAACC